GAUGAACGCUGACAGAAUGCUUAACACAUGCAAGUCUACUUGAACUUCGGUUUGGGUGGCGGACGGGUGAGUAACGCGUAAAGAACUUGCCUCACAGUUAGGGACAACAUUUGGAAACGAAUGCUAAUACCUGAUAUUAUGAUUUUAGGGCAUCCUAGGAUUAUGAAAGCUAUAUGUGCUGUGAGAGAGCUUUGCGUCCCAUUAGCUAGUUGGAGAGGUAACGGCUCACCAAGGCGAUGAUGGGUAGCCGGCCUGAGAGGGUGAACGGCCACAAGGGGACUGAGACACGGCCCUUACUCCUACGGGAGGCAGCAGAGGGGAAUAUUGGACAAUGGACCAAAAGUCUGAUCCAGCAAUUCUGUGUGCACGAUGACGUUUUUCGGAAUGUAAAGUGCUUUCAGUUGGGAAGAAAAAAAUGACGGUACCAACAGAAGAAGUGACGGCUAAAUACGUG
Molecule: ribosomal RNA, 454 nt
Filed under: uncultured bacterium
Lineage: Bacteria
Description: partial 16S ribosomal RNA
Rfam family: Bacterial small subunit ribosomal RNA
Source: RNAcentral